This 493-nucleotide ribosomal RNA is filed under the name Ramularia grevilleana. RNAcentral describes it as "eukaryotic LSU rRNA". The stretch from base 158 to 311 matches the Rfam family "5.8S ribosomal RNA". The record is from RNAcentral. Lineage: Eukaryota; Fungi; Ascomycota; Dothideomycetes; Mycosphaerellales; Mycosphaerellaceae.
AGGGAUCAUUACUGAGUUAGGGAGCAAUCCCGAACCUCCAACCCUUUGUGAACACAUCUUGUUGCUUCGGGGGCGACCCUGCCGUUUCGACGGCAUUCCCCCCGGAGGUCAUCAAAACACUGCAUUCUUACGUCGGAGUAUAAAGUUAAUUUAAUAAAACUUUCAACAACGGAUCUCUUGGUUCUGGCAUCGAUGAAGAACGCAGCGAAAUGCGAUAAGUAAUGUGAAUUGCAGAAUUCAGUGAAUCAUCGAAUCUUUGAACGCACAUUGCGCCCCCUGGUAUUCCGGGGGGCAUGCCUGUUCGAGCGUCAUUUCACCACUCAAGCCUCGCUUGGUAUUGGGCGCCGCGAGUCUCUCGCGCGCCUCAAAGUCUCCGGCUAGGCGGUUCGUCUCCCAGCGUUGUGGCAACUAUUCGCAGAGGAGUUCGAGUCGUCGAGGCCGUUAAUCUUUCAAAGGUGACCUCGGAUCAGGUAGGGAUACCCGCUGAACUUAA